RNAcentral lists this ribosomal RNA (628 nucleotides) under Halomonas sp. RNAcentral's name for it is "bacterial SSU rRNA". It matches the Rfam family "Bacterial small subunit ribosomal RNA", at positions 283 to 873 of the family's 1533-position model. The record is from RNAcentral. Lineage: Bacteria; Pseudomonadati; Pseudomonadota; Gammaproteobacteria; Oceanospirillales; Halomonadaceae.
GUAGCUGGUCUGAGAGGAUGAUCAGCCACAUCGGGACUGAGACACGGCCCGAACUCCUACGGGAGGCAGCAGUGGGGAAUAUUGGACAAUGGGGGCAACCCUGAUCCAGCCAUGCCGCGUGUGUGAAGAAAGCCUUCGGGUUGUAAAGCACUUUCAGCGAGGAAGAACGCCUGGUGGUUAAUACCCAUUAGGAAAGACAUCACUCGCAGAGAAAGCACCGGCUAACUCCGUGCCAGCAGCCGCGGUAAUACGGAGGGUGCAAGCGUUAAUCGGAAUUACUGGGCGUAAAGCGCGCGUAGGUGGCUUGAUAAGCCGGUUGUGAAAGCCCCGGGCUCAACCUGGGAACGGCAUCCGGAACUGUCAGGCUAUAGUGCAGGAGAGGAAGGUAGAAUUCCCGGUGUAGCGGUGAAAUGCGUAGAGAUCGGGAGGAAUACCAGUGGCGAAGGCGGCCUUCUGGACUGACACUGACACUGAGGUGCGACAACGUGGGGUAGCAAACAGGAUUAUAUACCCUGGUAGUCCACGCCGUAAACGAUGUUCGACCAACCCGUUGGGUGGCCUAACUGCACUUUUUUGGCGAAAUUUAACGCCGAUAAAUUCGAACCGCCCUGGGGGAGUAACGGCCCGC